UACGAAGGGGGCGAGCGUUGUUCGGAAUCACUGGGCGUAAAGGGCGCGUAGGCGGGAUGGCAAGUCAGUCGUGAAAUCUCUCGGCUCAACCGAGAAACGUCGGCUGAUACUGCCGUUCUUGAGGGAUGCAGAGGAGACUGGAAUUCCCGGUGUAGCGGUGAAAUGUGUAGAGAUCGGGAGGAACACCGGUGGCGAAGGCGGGUCUCUGGGCAUCUCCUGACGCUGAGGCGCGAAAGCGUGGGGAGCAAACGGG
RNAcentral lists this ribosomal RNA (253 nucleotides) under uncultured bacterium. RNAcentral describes it as "partial 16S ribosomal RNA". It matches the Rfam family "Bacterial small subunit ribosomal RNA", at positions 524 to 776 of the family's 1533-position model. The record is from RNAcentral.